GCCUUCGUGGUGUAAUGGUCAGCACACUGAGCCGGUAUUUCAGAGGUCCGUGGUUCGAUUCCUGGAGAAGGAA
This 73-nucleotide transfer RNA is filed under the name Stegodyphus mimosarum. It matches the Rfam family "tRNA". Rfam says of the family: Transfer RNA (tRNA) molecules are approximately 80 nucleotides in length. Their secondary structure includes four short double-helical elements and three loops (D, anti-codon, and T loops). Lineage: Eukaryota; Metazoa; Arthropoda; Arachnida; Araneae; Eresidae. The record is from Rfam by way of RNAcentral.